GACGAACGCUGGCGGCGUGCUUAACACAUGCAAGUCGAACGGAAAGGCCCCUUUGGGGGUACUCGAGUAGCGAACGGGUGAAUAACACGUGAGCAACCUGCCCUUGACUUCGGGAUAACUUCAGGAAACUGGGGCUAAUACCGGAUAGGAAUCCUUGCUGCAUGGUGGGGGUUGGAAAGCUUCGGCGGUUUUGGAUGGACUCGCGGCUUAUCAGCUUGUUGGUGGGGUAGUGGCUUACCAAGGCUUUGACGGGUAGCCGGCCUGAGAGGGCGACCGGCCACAUUGGGACUGAGACACGGUCCAGACUCCUACGGGAGGCAGCAGUGGGGAAUAUUGCACAAUGGGCGGAAGCCUGAUGCAGCAACGCCGCGUGCGGGAUGACGGCCUUCGGGUUGUAAACCUCUUUCAGCAGGGGCGAAGCUUUUGUGACGGUACCUGCAGAAGAGGUAGCGGCUAAGUACGUG
This 464-nucleotide ribosomal RNA is filed under the name uncultured bacterium. RNAcentral's name for it is "partial 16S ribosomal RNA". It matches the Rfam family "Bacterial small subunit ribosomal RNA", at positions 28 to 507 of the family's 1533-position model. The record is from RNAcentral.